GGAGGGAUGGCUGAGUGGUCGAAAGCGCACGACUCGAAAUCGUGUAGGCCUCCGGGUCUCGAGGGUUCGAAUCCCUCUCCCUCCGCCA
This 88-nucleotide transfer RNA is filed under the name Patescibacteria group bacterium. RNAcentral describes it as "tRNA-Ser". It matches the Rfam family "tRNA". Rfam says of the family: Transfer RNA (tRNA) molecules are approximately 80 nucleotides in length. Their secondary structure includes four short double-helical elements and three loops (D, anti-codon, and T loops). Further hydrogen bonds mediate the characteristic L-shaped molecular structure. tRNAs have two regions of fundamental functional importance: the anti-codon, which is responsible for specific mRNA codon recognition, and the 3' end, to which the tRNAs corresponding amino acid is attached (by aminoacyl-tRNA synthetases). tRNAs cope with the degeneracy of the genetic code in two manners: having more than one tRNA (with a specific anti-codon) for a particular amino acid; and 'wobble' base-pairing, i.e. permitting non-standard base-pairing at the 3rd anti-codon position. The record is from RNAcentral.